This 477-nucleotide long non-coding RNA is filed under the name Mytilus galloprovincialis (Mediterranean mussel). Lineage: Eukaryota; Metazoa; Mollusca; Bivalvia; Mytilida; Mytilidae. The record is from RNAcentral.
AUACGGAAGAAAUGGUACUAGACUUUAGUGCCUUAGUCACACUUUUGUCGUUUUUCUUCAGUAUUCUUUAAAACCUUUACAAGAUUAUUGAUAUGCAGGAGAAAGAUGUUUUCUUAAGGAAACAUCUUAUGACGUUACUUAUUAAUAAUUGUUGUACCGAAUUCAUAAUUGCCAGGUCAUGGUGCUGAUUAUGCACUACUGCAAGCAAGAAAUGAAAAUUAAAUAAUUGUCAAUUGCACAAUUUUUGACAGUAAAGAGCACCCUAAUUUCUUUCAAAUUUUUGAAUCAUUUUAAUCAAUUUCACCUUAUUGAUAUUAUCAUGAAUAUUCAAAAAUAAUAUAUUUACUGAUACAUAUCAAAUGUCGUACUUCAGUACAACUUUCUUCUUUUCACCGUAUCAUUUAAGAGAUAUCUCAUCGAGUCUGCCCAACAAUAAAUAACAGCAGUAAUUUGUUAUGCUACCAGUGUUUUUUCUAC